RNAcentral lists this transfer RNA (76 nucleotides) under Yersinia pestis. Its description in RNAcentral is "tRNA-Arg". It matches the Rfam family "tRNA". From Rfam's summary of the family: Transfer RNA (tRNA) molecules are approximately 80 nucleotides in length. Their secondary structure includes four short double-helical elements and three loops (D, anti-codon, and T loops). The record is from RNAcentral. Lineage: Bacteria; Pseudomonadati; Pseudomonadota; Gammaproteobacteria; Enterobacterales; Yersiniaceae.
GCACCCAUAGCUCAGCUGGAUAGAGUACUCGGCUACGAACUGAGCGGUCGGAAGUUCGAAUCUUCUGGGUGCACCA